UUCCAGAUAGAGGCUGGAUUGCGAUGGCUUCCUCACCAAUUGGUUUAUGGUGAAUACGCUUCUAUCAUGUCCCUCUGGUUGUUUUAACUCGGUUUUGUUCAAGAAAUCCUUCUGUUUUCAAGUGUGGGCUGCGACAGUUGCAGAGUUGUUGUCUACUAGCUUUAUUCUUCCCCUACGGUGCGAAUUGUCGUCUUGUUUUCGACGUCGUCGUAUCCAUAAGAGAGUGUGAGGAACUUCGUGUGGUUCUAUCUUGCUGGGUUAUGAAGAAUUUCAUAGGAAUUAUGUUACUUUUAGGCAGUUUGGCUUAUUAAUAGGAGAUUUGGAUUAUUGAUGGUUGGCCGAGGGGAUCUUCAAUAUGUGCUAGUGAAGAUUCCUCUUCAAUUAGAGUUCCUUGAUGGGUUUAGUUUGGUUCCUUUGUGUAGAGCUUUUCAGUUUGGUUUGUCUUGUUUGUGGGAUUCCUCUUUUAUA
Long non-coding RNA from Capsella rubella, 468 nucleotides. RefSeq lists it as uncharacterized. NCBI's taxonomy places the organism in Eukaryota, Viridiplantae, Streptophyta, Magnoliopsida, Brassicales, Brassicaceae. The record is from RefSeq and is a predicted model, not a curated record. The transcript has 2 exons.